Molecule: ribosomal RNA, 253 nt
Filed under: uncultured bacterium
Lineage: Bacteria
Description: partial 16S ribosomal RNA
Rfam family: Bacterial small subunit ribosomal RNA
Source: RNAcentral
UACGGAGGGUGCAAGCGUUAUCCGGAUUCACUGGGUUUAAAGGGUGCGUAGGAGGGCAGGUAAGUCAGUGGUGAAAUCUCCGAGCUUAACUUGGAAACUGCCGUUGAUACUAUCUGCCUUGAAUAUUGUGGAGGUGAGCGGAAUAUGUCAUGUAGCGGUGAAAUGCUUAGAUAUGACAUAGAAUACCUAUUGCGAAGGCAGCUUACUACACAGAUAUUGACGCUCAUGCACGAAAGCGUGGGGAUCAAACAGG